GCAGAGGCUUGCGCUUGGUGCGGCCCAGAACACGGGGACUUGAACAUUCACUGUCCAACACUCACGGGGCGGCUUCUGUGACGUGUCAGCUUUGGAGAAAAGUGUGUCCUCCUGCAAGGGUCAGGAGAGGGUUGCAGGGUUGAAGGACGUCCCAGUGACAUUUCUGAGUCUUGCAGCCUGCGGGGGUCCACGUGGUUACCCCGAACAGGAACAUGCGGGCGCUUUCCGGGAUCUGGCAAGCCUGCACAGCAGUUUUGCGUUUACAUUCCUUGUUCUGUUUUUAAGGAUAAAGCAAAUUGAUGCCAACUGGUGACAGAUGUUUUUCAGGCCUAAUAAAUAUAUCUGCAUUUUGUACCAUGCCACACCUCGUAUUAAAACAAGCUUUUCAGAGAGAGAUGGUCGGUGCUGUGGUCGGUCGGUCCCCUCCGCCAGCCCGUGGCCGAAGGCGUGGAGAGCAGGCUGCCUGCGCGGGGCUCUGGGAGGAAGUGCGCCUGUUCGUCUCGGCUUAGAGGACGGUAAAUUUACAUGCACACACACAACUCCAUAAUUAUAGGUAGGCUUUUUUGUUUUUCCAUUUUACUGCUCUAAGAAAACCCCGAAGUUCAGUUCACGGUAACAGGAACACGAGGCUGCGCGAACCCAGCUUUAUGGAGAGAAGCUGGGCUCUGUGUGAACAGGAAUCUGUGGAGAAGCCACGGCCUUUGCCAGCUUAUUUGCUGCUUCUCUGUGGACAAUGUGCCCUGCUCCUGGGUGUCUACAGACCCCUCGGGACUGCCCCGGGGUGUCUCCUGUGAGCACAGGGAGGGAUUUUCGGGGUUCCUGAGGCCAGAGCGCUCACAGCGUUUCCAGGCACUUCCGAGCCCCUGGAGGCACUGCCUGGCCUGGUGCCUGGCAGCCCCUGGUUUGGCGAUGACUGCAUCUCAUGUGGCACUUGCUUUGGGGAUGACACACGAGGAAGAUUCAUCUGGGGGUGCAGUGAUGUCACACGUGGCCUCACGCUGAGGGGACCUUGUUUGUUUAGUCCCGGAGGACCUAUCAGACCCCAAGUGACAUCGCCGACUGGAGAUCCCUGCACACCCUUUGGGCCAGGCUCAGCCAACCGACUGGGGAGGAGGGAGGCUCUGCCAGGCCUGGGCUUCAGCCUGCUUUGCCUCUAAACCUUGGUGUUAAAAACGAAAACUGUCAGUGCAGACGAAACUCCAGCAAACACAAGACAGGAGCAGAGUUGUUCUGGUCUGGUGCUCAAAGAGCCCCGGAAACAGUCGCUGACACCACUGCCAACUCCAGCUGCUGGGGCCUGCCUCACCCAGCAGGGCCCUUGGUGCCUCAGGGUGCCACACUUGAGCCUGAACGAGCAGAGAAAAACAAGAGUGCGUUACUGACUUCAGAGGUGAGCACCGGGGCUGUUCCAGACAUCACGGCUGCCGGGGAGAAGGCCACCUCGUCCCACCCCACAGGGCCUGGGAGCCCCCAGUCCUUCCUGAGAAUCCAGCUUUAGGAUCUGGCUCCAACCCCAGGGUGAAGGCCAGGAAUUCCGUGCCCGCCGGCACACACCUCCUCGCCUCCAUGGAACACUCAUCUGCCUGCCACAGUAAGGCUUGCACAGCAGAGCAGAGCAGGCCUGGCUGCAGGGCUGACUUCGGGGCCGGCCUAGGUACCAGGAGGACCACUUGGCACCCAGCUGUGUGGUUAACACUGGGGCCCAGCCUAGGUCCUAGAAGGACCCCUCAGCGCCCGGCCUCAGCACUAGAAGGACCCCUCAGCGCCCGGCCUCAGCACUAGAAGGAUCCCUCAGCGCCCGGCCUCAGCACUAGAAGGAUCCCUCAGCGCCCGGCCACAGGGUCGAACUCAGGGCCCGGCCUUGGCAGCAGCAGGACCCCUCAGUGCCCGCUCAGGCGGCUCCCUAUUCUCUAACGGGCCCACUGGCCUGCGGGGUUGCCCCGAAGCUCUUCAGUGGUCAGGGAAGGGACUCUGUCCUCACUGUCAGGUCAGCACUGCCAGGAUCUGUCACAUGCGCGGACACUCACGGCUUCAUGCUGAAGAGGUCUUUGAACCCAGACAGGCUGGUGUCUCUGUUCCUGUACUUCUCGGCAAUCAGCUUCUCCCUGGUCCAGGUCAUCUGCACCUUGUCUGGCGUAGGCGGCGCUUGGGUCCUGGCCGCUGCUGCGGUGUGGGACGCACUGUUCCUGUCGUGGAUCAGCUGGGCCUGGUGGGACCGGGAUUCGUUGAGACCAGCCAGUCUCAAAACUCCCCCGGGCGAGAACGACCCAGGACGCCAGGCCAGAGGCGAGGCCAGCCCACAGAACCAGAAGGGCCCUGCGUGCCUGACCCGGGACCCAGCCUGGCUUCCCACACUGGCCCUGCGCCGCUCCCGCGGCUGCCUCCCUCCUCCCAGGCUUCCCGACCAAACGCUCACUUCCUCCUCCCAUCUUCACCCCCUCACCGUCCCGCCCUGGCCCUGAACUGGAGAGAAAGGCCCCACGACCCCGUGCUGACAGGAGGGGACACGUGCUGGGAGUCUCCCCCUACCUGGCGGGGCUCCACACACACUGUGUUCGCCCGAGACCACCCGCUCGCCCACACAACCGGCAUGCAGGCGUCCCUGUCUCAGGGAGGCUCGGGGCAGGUGGGGCCGUGCCAGCAUCCAGGCCCUGUCCCAGGGAAGCAGGCUGUGUCUGACCAGCCAGGGGACGUUUGGGGGCCAGCCAGGCUGACUGGGGCCCUGUGGGGCACCGUUGGGGCCAAUGACAGGGCCGGCCCCAUAGGUCACUUCGGAUAAUCCAAGGAAAAUGAGAACACCGUCCGCCCCUCGCUGUAGGCACCGAAGGGGAAGUGGUGCCCUCACUGCGAGGUCGCACCAACGGCACAGUCCCUGGUGGUUGAACACCCUCCACGGGGUCCUCCCUCCCUCCCUGUACCCUUCACGCCCUCCUGCUGUUGUGGCCAGUCUGAAGGGGAGGCCAGUGGGAGCUCCCAGACACGGGUGCCACCUUGGAAGUGAUAUUUACACAUGUGCCGGAAUGGCCACCUCUCCCACCGUGGCUGGAGCCCUGCCUGAGUCUGUGCCGCAGCCCGGGGGAGCCGCUCAUCCCGGGGGCUUCAGGAGUCUGUGAGCCCCGGGAUGAUUUUAAAAAGCCAAAGGCCCAGAGUGAUUUCACUGGACCAGGUUCUUCCUCCCCAAAUAAACAUGCUUAACUUG
This is a non-coding RNA of Macaca mulatta (Rhesus monkey), 3199 nucleotides long. NCBI's taxonomy places the organism in Eukaryota, Metazoa, Chordata, Mammalia, Primates, Cercopithecidae. The record is from RefSeq and is a predicted model, not a curated record.